UAGACUAAAAAAAAAAAAAGCAUAAACAGACACAAACCAAAAUAAUAUUUCAGUUGAUGAUCCACCUAUGGUUUUAAUUCACUUUAAAGGAUUAUUGUUAAAAAGGCCAUCAGUGGCUCCAGCAAGAAUAUCAUCUCCAAGCAACAAGCUAGGAUGAGCCUGAGAUGCUGCAAAAAGUUGUUUUUUCCGUUUAGCAGGAUCUAAUGUUAAAUUAUCUUCUCCUGGUAGGUGAUGUCUAAUCAUCUCCCAAUGGUGUUCAGUGGUAUUAUAAGAGCUAGGAGGAAACAAAAAUCAGAAGUAUUCCAAUCACUUUGCAUUUGAAUUCUCUGCUCCAAGCUCAUAAUCUGACCACCCAUUCAAAUUACUGUUUGAUGAAGAUCAUUAAUUUGAUUUGCCAAUUUUUGAUCUAUUUGGCUUUGGGAAUUCCAAAGCUUGGAAAAAAUUUUCCUGUCAACUAUCCACAGAGCUCACAGUUUGAAUAGAAUAAUGCAAAGUUAUACCAACAGCAGCAGCUAUAGCUGUGACCGCUAUAAGGCCCAUGAUGACAGCUAUUAAGGGAGACUCACCACCAAGGAGAUUACCACCAUCAUAGCUACCAUUAGAUUACUGGUGGUCAGCAGCUUGUGCUGAGACCACAGGUUCUUUUCUUCAAUGCGAGCUAGUCUCUUCAUCUGCCCCCAGGUCGGUGGAGUUGCUUGGGUGGAAGGGCUCCAGUGCUGUUUUAAUUGCUGACCACACAGACCAAGUGGAGAAGGGAAUAUCGCAGCCCUCUUGUUGUGCUCCUUUAACAUGAUGAUUACACAGGGAACAGUCCUCCAUUUUGGGAACAUGACAGUGUUUAGAAGGAAACACUCAUGCAAUGGAUUCUUUGAGGAUCCUCUUCCAUGAACUGGGAAACUUUUCAUGUGGAAGAC
Homo sapiens (human) is the source of this 914-nucleotide long non-coding RNA. RefSeq lists it as uncharacterized. The record is from RefSeq and is a predicted model, not a curated record. NCBI's taxonomy places the organism in Eukaryota, Metazoa, Chordata, Mammalia, Primates, Hominidae. The transcript has 4 exons.